GCUAUACAGCUAGCUUAUCCACCAAAUCAAUACACCAACAUUAAAAACCUUUACAAAACUACAAUCAACGUAAAUCAAAACAUUUUACCGCCCAAGUAUGUGAGACAGAAAAGGCACCACACAAGCUACAGAAAAAGUACCGCAAGGGAACGCUGAAAGAGAAAUGAAAUAAAUCAUUAAAGCGCAACAAAGCAGAGACUAACCCUCGUACCUUUUGCAUCAUGAUUUAGCUACUCCUCCCGAGCAAAACGCAUUUUAGUUCGUAACCCCGAAACUAAGUGAGCUACCCCAAGACAGCCUAUUAAUUAGGGCCAACCCGUCUCUGUGGCAAAAGAGUGGGAAGAUCUUUGGGUAGGGGUGACAGACCUACCGAACUUAGUUAUAGCUGGUUGCCUAAGAAAUGGAUAGAAGUUCAGCCUCGUGCUCCUUAAAUCACAAACUACUUAAAAUUAUAUGAACAAGAGAAACACACGAGAGUUAGUCAAAGGAGGUACAGCUCCUUUGAAACAGGACACAACCUCAACAGGAGGUUAAAGAUUAUAUUAAACAAGAUAAACCGCUCUAGUGGGCCUAAAAGCAGCCAUCUAGACAGAAAGCGUUAAAGCUCUGGCGGAAUACAAAUCUAUUAUCCAAAUAUUUCAUCUAAAACCCCUAAUUAUAUUAGGCUAUUCCAUGCCAACAUGGAAGAAAUACUGCUAAAAUGAGUAAUAAGAAAGAACUUCUUUCUCCAAAACCCACGUGUACGUUAGAUCGGACCCACCACUAACAAUUAUCGAACCCAAUCAAAGAGGGAAAUAUGAUUAUAUUAAACAACAAGAAAUACUCAUAAAACAUUAUCGUUAAUCCCACACCAGAGGGUUAUUAAAGGAAAGACUAAAAGAAAAGGAAGGAACUCGGCAAACAUAAGCCUCGCCUGUUUACCAAAAACAUCGCCUCCUGCAAAAAACAACGUAUAGGAGGUCUUGCCUGCCCAGUGACUAGUUAAACGGCCGCGGUAUUUUGACCGUGCGAAGGUAGCGCAAUCACUUGUCUUUUAAAUGAAGACCUGUAUGAAUGGUGGAACGAGGGCUUAACUGUCUCCCUUUUCAAGUCAAUGAAAUUGAUCUCCCCGUGCAGAAGCGGGCAUGCCCAUACAAGACGAGAAGACCCUUUGGAGCUUAAGAUGUAAGAUCAACUAUGUUAAGAAUCACCUAAAUUAAUUAAACUAAAUAGCAACUGAUCCUUAUCUUCGGUUGGGGCGACCACGGGAGAAAACAAAGCUCCCACGUGGACUGGGACUUCCCCUAAAACUAAGAGAAACAUCUCUAAGUCACAGAACAUCUGACCAUAAAGAUCCGGCCACCGGCCGAUCAACGGACCAAGUUACCCUAGGGAUAACAGCGCAAUCCCCUUUCAGAGUCCAUAUCGACAAGGGGGUUUACGACCUCGAUGUUGGAUCAGGACAUCCUAAUGGUGCAGCCGCUAUUAAGGGUUCGUUUGUUCAACGAU
This 1488-nucleotide ribosomal RNA is filed under the name Mystus gulio (long whiskers catfish). Its description in RNAcentral is "partial 16S ribosomal RNA". It matches the Rfam family "Bacterial large subunit ribosomal RNA", at positions 135 to 2588 of the family's 2925-position model. The record is from RNAcentral. Lineage: Eukaryota; Metazoa; Chordata; Actinopteri; Siluriformes; Bagridae.